UUUGAAUUACUGAUAAGGGCGAGGAUCAGGCCAGGUUGGGCAGUUCUUCAGCACGGGGAGCAGGGGACUCUGCCCCUGUGAUUCUGGGGGGAGCUGGCCCUGGCCCACUGCGGAUUCAGAGGCAGACGCUGGGCUCCCUGAGCCUCGGGGAGGGCACCUGUGACGUCGCCGUGCAGAAUUCUCAGUCUGGAGCCAGGACCCAAAGAAGACAGUCACUUUAGA
This is a long non-coding RNA of Molossus molossus (Pallas's mastiff bat), 222 nucleotides long. RefSeq lists it as uncharacterized. NCBI's taxonomy places the organism in Eukaryota, Metazoa, Chordata, Mammalia, Chiroptera, Molossidae. The transcript is spliced from 3 exons. The record is from RefSeq and is a predicted model, not a curated record.